AUGCAAGUCGAACGUGAAGCCACCUUCGGGUGGUGGAAAGUGGCAGACGGGUGAGUAACGCGUGGGAACGUGCCCUUCGGUUCGGGAUAACCCAGGGAAACUUGGGCUAAUACCGGAUACGCCCUUCGGGGGAAAAAUUUAUUGCCGAAGGAUCGGCCCGCGUCGGAUUAGCUUGUUGGUGGGGUAAAAGCCUACCAAGGCGACGAUCCGUAGCUGGUCUGAGAGGAUGAUCAGCCACACUGGAACUGAGACACGGCCCAGACUCCUACGGGAGGCAGCAGUGGGGAAUAUUGGACAAUGGGCGCAAGCCUGAUCCAGCCAUGCCGCGUGGGUGAAGAAGGCCUUAGGGUUGUAAAUCCCUUUCAGCGGGGAAGAUAAUGACGGUACCCGCAGAAGAAGCCCCGGCUAACUCCGUGCCAGCAGCCGCGGUAAUACGGAGGGGGCUAGCGUUGUUCGGAAUUACUGGGCGUAAAGCGCGCGUAGGCGGACCUGCAAGUCGGGGGUGAAAGCCCGAGGCUCAACCUCGGAACUGCCUUCGAUACUGCGGGUCUUGAGUCCGGGAGAGGUGAGUGGAAUUCCUAGUGUAGAGGUGAAAUUCGUAGAUAUUAGGAAGAACACCAG
Molecule: ribosomal RNA, 621 nt
Filed under: uncultured bacterium
Lineage: Bacteria
Description: bacterial SSU rRNA
Rfam family: Bacterial small subunit ribosomal RNA
Source: RNAcentral